Rhincodon typus (whale shark) is the source of this 303-nucleotide long non-coding RNA. RefSeq lists it as uncharacterized. The record is from RefSeq and is a predicted model, not a curated record. The transcript is spliced from 3 exons. NCBI's taxonomy places the organism in Eukaryota, Metazoa, Chordata, Chondrichthyes, Orectolobiformes, Rhincodontidae.
UGACCAGUGUCAUGUGAUUUCUGACUUUGUGCAGCUGGCAACAAUUGUGGAGCAGAAAGGAAGAUUAAUAUCAUCAGAGACAGAACAUUGGAUUGGUGAUGGUGAUGGUGGUGCCUGACACCGAUGAAGCUAAAAGGACAGUUUCUUCGCCUACUGUCAGGCCACUACAUUUAUCACCUGUAGCCUCCUGCCAGGGACCACCCAGAGCUGUCUCUUUUGGUAACCUAACGCAGGAAUGCAGCUAAUUCUGAAGCCAUAAACUAAACCACAAAAUAUAGGUUAUAUUCAGCUUAUAACUUUCUA